CUGCCAUUCCGCGUGAGUGAAGAAGGCCUUCGGGUUGUAAAGCUCUUUCGCAAGGGAAGAAAACUUAUGAUCGAAUAAAUCAUGAGGUUGACGGAACCUUGAUAAGAAGCACCGGCUAACUACGUGCCAGCAGCCGCGGUAAUACGUAGGGUGCGAGCGUUAAUCGGAAUUACUGGGCGUAAAGCGUGCGCAGGCGGUUUUGUAAGUCGGAUGUGAAAUCCCCGGGCUCAACCUGGGAACUGCGUUCGAAACUGCAAGGCUAGAGUGUGUCAGAGGGGGGUAGAAUUCCACGUGUAGCAGUGAAAUGCGUAGAGAUGUGGAGGAAUACCAAUGGCGAAGGCAGCCCCCUGGGAUAACACUGACGCUCAUGCACGAAAGCGUGGGGAGCAAACAGGAUUAGAUACCCUGGUAGUCCACGCCCUAAACGAUGUCAACUAGUUGUUGGUAGAGUAAAAUCUAUGAGUAACGUAGCUAACGCGUGAAGUUGACCGCCUGGGGAGUACGGUCGCAAGAUUAAAACUCACAGGAAUUGACGGGGGCCCGCACAAGCGGUGGAUUAUGUGGAUUAAUUCG
Molecule: ribosomal RNA, 573 nt
Filed under: uncultured bacterium
Lineage: Bacteria
Description: bacterial SSU rRNA
Rfam family: Bacterial small subunit ribosomal RNA
Source: RNAcentral